RNAcentral lists this unclassified non-coding RNA (213 nucleotides) under Hevea brasiliensis (rubber tree). The record is from RNAcentral. Lineage: Eukaryota; Viridiplantae; Streptophyta; Magnoliopsida; Malpighiales; Euphorbiaceae.
AAUAAACCAUAUAACACUUUCCUAAAACACAACCUAAACUUAUAUAUUUACAAAUAAAAAAUCAACAACCUUUCUUAAAUAAUACUCUAUCUUAACAAAAUAUAUAUUUUCAAAUAUUACUUCAUAAUAUAUAUUAAUUUCAACAAUUUAAAAUUCUAUACUUCUAAUAAAUAUUAAAAAAUACCUAACUAACACUAAAAAAAAUAAUAACUA